This 497-nucleotide ribosomal RNA is filed under the name uncultured bacterium. RNAcentral describes it as "partial 16S ribosomal RNA". It matches the Rfam family "Bacterial small subunit ribosomal RNA", at positions 28 to 507 of the family's 1533-position model. The record is from RNAcentral.
GAUGAACGCUGGCGGCGUGCCUAAUACAUGCAAGUCGAGCGAACAGAUGAGGAGCUUGCUCCUCUGACGUUAGCGGCGGACGGGUGAGUAACACGUGGAUAACCUACCUAUAAGACUGGGAUAACUUCGGGAAACCGGAGCUAAUACCGGAUAAUAUAUUGAACCGCAUGGUUCAAUAGUGAAAGACGGUUUUGCUGUCACUUAUAGAUGGAUCCGCGCCGCAUUAGCUAGUUGGUAAGGUAACGGCUUACCAAGGCAACGAUGCGUAGCCGACCUGAGAGGGUGAUCGGCCACACUGGAACUGAGACACGGUCAAGACUACUACGGGAGGCAGCAGUAGGGAAUCUUACGCAAUGGGCGAAAGCCUGACGGAGCAACGCCGCGUGAGUGAUGAAGGUCUUCGGAUCGUAAAACUCUGUUAUUAGGGAAGAACAAAUGUGUAAGUAACUAUGCCCGUAUUGACGGUACCUAAUAAGAAAGCAACGGCUAACUACGUG